CCUACGGGAGGCAGCAGUGAGGAAUAUUGGUCAAUGGGAGAGCUCCUGAACCAGCCAAGCCGCGUGAGGGAAGACGGCCCUAUGGGUUGUAAACCUCUUUUGUUGGAGAACAAACCCCGGGACGUGUCCCGGACUGCGUGUAUCCGAAGCAAAAGCAUCGGCUAACUCCGUGCCAGCAGCCGCGGUAAUACGGAGGAUGCGAGCGUUAUCCGGAUUUAUUGGGUUUAAAGGGUGCGUAGGCGGUCCGUUAAGUCAGCGGUAAAAUUGCGGGGCUCAACCCCGUCGAGCCGUUGAAACUGGCAGACUUGAGUUGGCGAGAAGUACGCGGAAUGCGCGGGGUAGCGGUGAAAUGCAUAGAUAUCGCGCAGAACUCAGAGUGCGAAGGCAGCGUACCGGCGCCAGACUGACGCUGAGGCACGAAAGCGUGGGGAGCGAACAGGAUUAGAUACCCGAGUAGGC
Molecule: ribosomal RNA, 459 nt
Filed under: uncultured bacterium
Lineage: Bacteria
Description: partial 16S ribosomal RNA
Rfam family: Bacterial small subunit ribosomal RNA
Source: RNAcentral